This 497-nucleotide ribosomal RNA is filed under the name uncultured bacterium. Its description in RNAcentral is "partial 16S ribosomal RNA". It matches the Rfam family "Bacterial small subunit ribosomal RNA", at positions 28 to 507 of the family's 1533-position model. The record is from RNAcentral.
GAUGAACGCUGGCGGCGCGCCUAAUACAUGCAAGUCGAGCGAACAGACGAGGAGCUUGCUCCUCUGACGUUAGCGGCGGACGGGUGAGUAACACGUGGAUAACCUACCUAUAAGACUGGGAUAACUUCGGGAAACCGGAGCUAAUACCGGAUAAUAUAUUGAACCGCAUGGUUCAAUGGUGAAAGACGGUUUUGCUGUCACUUAUAGAUGGAUCCGCGCCGCAUUAGCUAGUUGGUAAGGUAACGGCUUACCAAGGCGACGAUGCGUAGCCGACCUGAGAGGGUGAUCGGCCACACUGGAACUGAGACACGGUCCAGACUCCUACGGGAGGCAGCAGUAGGGAAUCUUCCGCAAUGGGCGAAAGCCUGACGGAGCAACGCCGCGUGAGUGAUGAAGGUCUUCGGAUCGUAAAACUCUGUUAUUAGGGAAGAACAAAUGUGUAAGUAACUAUGCACGUCUUGACGGUACCUAAUCAGAAAGCCACGGCUAACUACGUG